RNAcentral lists this ribosomal RNA (471 nucleotides) under uncultured Alphaproteobacteria bacterium. RNAcentral's name for it is "bacterial SSU rRNA". It matches the Rfam family "Bacterial small subunit ribosomal RNA", at positions 9 to 524 of the family's 1533-position model. The record is from RNAcentral. Lineage: Bacteria; Pseudomonadati; Pseudomonadota; Alphaproteobacteria.
GAGUUUGAUCGUGGCUCAGAACGAACGCUGGCGGCAUGCCUAACACAUGCAAGUCGAACGGAUGCAGCAAUGCAUCAGUGGCGGACGGGUGAGUAACGCGUGGGAAUCUACCCAGAUCUUCGGAACAACUGAGGGAAACUUCAGCUAAUACCGGAUACGCCCUACGGGGGAAAGAUUUAUCGGAUUUGGAUGAGCCCGCGUUGGAUUAGCUAGUUGGUGGGGUAAUGGCCUACCAAGGCGACGAUCCAUAGCUGGUCUGAGAGGAUGAUCAGCCACACUGGGACUGAGACACGGCCCAGACUCCUACGGGAGGCAGCAGUGGGGAAUAUUGGACAAUGGGCGAAAGCCUGAUCCAGCCAUGCCGCGUGAGUGAUGAAGGCCUUAGGGUUGUAAAGCUCUUUCAGUAGGGAAGAUAAUGACGGUACCUACAGAAGAAGCCCCGGCUAACUUCGUGCCAGCAGCCGCUGUAAC